CCUACGGGAGGCAGCAGUGGGGAAUAUUGCACAAUGGGGGAAACCCUGAUGCAGCAACGCCGCGUGAAGGAAGACGGUUUUCGGAUUGUAAACUUCUGUUCUUAGUGAAGAAUAAUGACGGUAGCUAAGGAGCAAGCCACGGCUAACUACGUGCCAGCAGCCGCGGUAAUACGUAGGUGGCAAGCGUUGUCCGGAAUUACUGGGUGUAAAGGGAGCGCAGGCGGGAAGCCAAGUCAGCUGUGAAAACGACGGGCUUAACUUGUAGACUGCAGUUGAAACUGGUUUUCUUUAGUGAAGUAGAGGUUGGCGGAAUUCCGAGUGUAGCGGUGAAAUGCGUAGAUAUUCGGAGGAACACCGGUGGCGAAGGCGGCCAACUGGGCUUUAACUGACGCUGAGGCUCGAAAGUGUGGGGAGCAAACAGGAUUAGAUACCCUUGUAGUC
Molecule: ribosomal RNA, 441 nt
Filed under: uncultured bacterium
Lineage: Bacteria
Description: partial 16S ribosomal RNA
Rfam family: Bacterial small subunit ribosomal RNA
Source: RNAcentral